Long non-coding RNA from Homo sapiens (human), 1972 nucleotides. Ensembl annotates it as long intergenic non-protein coding RNA 523. NCBI's taxonomy places the organism in Eukaryota, Metazoa, Chordata, Mammalia, Primates, Hominidae. The record is from Ensembl.
GCUCUUCCUGAUGGACGUCAGCUCCUAUCUCUCCUGGGGAGUGGAGGCUGCUCUGGAGUGGGGCCAAGAUCGGGAGGCCCAGGAGAGAAAAGGGCCUGCAAUCUACCUCCCAGUCAACAAGAUGCUAUAAUAAAAACAUAGCCAACUGUCACUCAGCGUUUAUUACGGUGCCAGAUGAGGAAACAGGUGCAGAACCGUGGAGUAACCUGCGCAGGGUCUCCAGUAGAAAAACAGGCCCUUGGUCAGAUGAAUUUACCCACUUCGGCCACCAGGGGCGCUGUUGGCACAGCUUGAACUCGAGACCAGCGCUGUCCAACGGAAACCGAACGUGAGGAACGUGAGCUUGGGGAGGCAGAGGACAAAGCCUGGCCUGCAAGACACUGAGCUUCACCUCUUCCAGGAGGACGACAUCAUCACCAUUUCUCAGAUGAGGAAACUGAGGCUCAGAGAGAUGCAGUGACCCACCAAGGCUGAGUGCAGGAAUGUUGGCCCUCAGCAUCCACCCUGGGCCCUGCAUUGCCCUGGUUGUCUAUGUGGCCCCAGCCCUCCUGGGCCAUUUUGAUCUGUUUUGUGCAUUUGGGGCACGUGUAUGAGAGCAUGUUUGGAGAACUAUGCUUUAUAGCAAGAAGCUCCAGCCAGGGGGACUGAGGGAAGGCUUCCCAGAGGCGGUGACCCUGACAUUGGGUUCCCAGGAGUGAAGAACAUUUUGACAAUCAGCAAGGAGAGCGUUCCAGACGAGGAAGCUGCAUGUUGAGGGAUCAAGAGGUCUGCUGUGUGACCUUCUUCAAGUUCCUGACCCUCUCUGGGCUGCAGUCACCUUAUUCAGAAAAUGGAGAGGCUAGACAAGAAAAUGAUGCUAAUCUCACCCUUUUCUGGGCUGGCAUUUUAUUGAGCACCUACUAGGCGCUGGGCAUUUUGCUAGGCCCUUCGUGCACACUGCCAUGAGAAAUCCACAGCAACCCCAGAGAUGGGUUCAUCAAUAACUCACCAGCAAAUACUUCCUGAGGCCCCACUGUGUGCCGAGCAUGGGCAUAGGUACUGGGCACACCUCGAUGAACAAGGGAGGUAAGGAUGUGACUCUCCUAGAACUUUCUGUCGAGAAGAGGAGAUGGAGAAUAAACAUGGAAACAAGCAAGAUCAUUCUGGAGAAAAUGCAAUCAGAUGAUGUGCUAGAUGGUAACAGAGAGAGGUCGAAUGAGAGAGAGGGCCGUGACAGCCUCUCUGAGAAGCUGAAAUCCAAGCAGAACCUGAAAGACGAGGAGAAACUCAGAUACAUAAAGACUGGGAAAAGCAUUCAAGUAGAGGGAACAGUGCGUGCAAAGGCCCUGAGGUGGGUGCAGUAGAUACCACAGGCCCCCUCACUCGAGACCACUCCAAGCACCUCCUGCCCUCUUGUGCCACAGAGCUCAGAAAGCUAAAGCAAUGUUCCCCAGAGGUCCUGUGGCCAAGGUCCUGCAUGGGCCUGGGUGACCCCUGCAGAAGCUUCUGAGCAAGACUGAGCAGGGAAAGAAAGGCCAUGUCAGAAAACCAUCCUCCAGCGAGCAUGGAGGCAGAGAGUCUCAUCCUGGCAUCCCAGGUGCUGAGCAGAGCAGACAGCAGCAGAGGGGCUCCCUAGAGCAGCUGGGGGCCCUGCCUGUGCCGUCGCUCUUUCCCCUCCCUGCCCUCUGGUCUGACAUCCCAUUGGCAUCACACACGAUGCCUCCCGGAGGUGCUCUUGUGCACACAGCAGGUCAAAGUGCCAGAGAAUUAGAUCCUGUCCUCUUGGGAACAGCCCUCAGCCAGCAGUGAGCCCUUAGGAGGAUGCUCCAAGCUCUAUCCUCCCCGGGUCCAGAGGCCCUGGGAUGGAGCGCCAUUGUGGAAGCAGUGACAACUUGAUGAAGCUCCCUGGGCUGGCCCCUUCCUCUCUGCCUUGUUCCCCGUUCCCUGCAGUCCUGCAAUCACCUCCCAAAUAAACCAUGUGCCCUUGCUGGAA